GAGGCUUUAGCUUAAUAAAAGUGCUUGAGUUGCAUUCAAGAGAUGUGCUAUAGUAUAGUACAAGUUUU
Molecule: transfer RNA, 68 nt
Filed under: Anolis marcanoi
Lineage: Eukaryota; Metazoa; Chordata; Lepidosauria; Squamata; Anolidae
Description: tRNA-Ala
Source: RNAcentral